RNAcentral lists this ribosomal RNA (251 nucleotides) under uncultured bacterium. Its description in RNAcentral is "partial 16S ribosomal RNA". It matches the Rfam family "Bacterial small subunit ribosomal RNA", at positions 92 to 339 of the family's 1533-position model. The record is from RNAcentral.
AGAGCGGCGCACGGGUGAGUAACGCGUAGAUUAUCUACCCUUGAGAUUGAGAUACCACCGGGAAACUGGUGUUAAUACCGAAUAACGCAUAUGAUGUGGAAGUUAUAUGUUAAAGGGGGGCAACUCCCGCUUGAGGAUGAGUCUGCGUUCUAUCAGCUUGUUGGUGGGGUAAUGGCCUACCAAGGCUCUGACGGAUAACUGGUCUGAGAGGAUGAUCAGUCACACUGGCACUGAGACACGGGCCAGACUCC